Xyrauchen texanus (razorback sucker) is the source of this 153-nucleotide long non-coding RNA. RefSeq lists it as uncharacterized. The transcript has 3 exons. The record is from RefSeq and is a predicted model, not a curated record. Lineage: Eukaryota; Metazoa; Chordata; Actinopteri; Cypriniformes; Catostomidae.
ACAAAAUGAAGUAUUGCCUCUGAAUGCAGCAGGCCAUGUGAAUUCUACUGUGAUACCUGUCGACAAUGUAAAUAAGCCUGAGGAGGGAGAGAGACUGCUUAAAGAUGGAUCAAAAGCAGGAAGUCAGGAGAGCGAUUUGUCUGACUCUGGUAA